CCUACGGGAGGCAGCAGUCGAGAAUCAUUCACAAUGGGGGAAACCCUGAUGGUGCGACGCCGCGUGGGGGAAUGAAGGUCUUCGGAUUGUAAACCCCUGUCAUGUGGGAGCAAAUUAAAAAGAUAGUACCACAAGAGGAAGAGACGGCUAACUCUGUGCCAGCAGCCGAGGUAAUACAGAGGUCUCAAGCGUUGUUCGGAAUCACUGGGCGUAAAGCGUGCGUAGGCUGUGUCGUAAGUCGGGUGUGAAAGGCGCGGGCUCAACCCGCGGACGGCACAAGAUACUGCGAGACUAGAGUAAUGGAGGGGGAACCGGAAUUCUCGGUGUAGCAGUGAAAUGCGUAGAUAUCGAGAGGAACACUCGUGGCGAAGGCGGGUUCCUGGACAUUAACUGACGCUGAGGCACGAAGGCCAGGGGAGCGAAAGGGAUGAGAUACCCCUGUAGUC
Molecule: ribosomal RNA, 446 nt
Filed under: uncultured bacterium
Lineage: Bacteria
Description: partial 16S ribosomal RNA
Rfam family: Bacterial small subunit ribosomal RNA
Source: RNAcentral